Long non-coding RNA from Amphimedon queenslandica, 3248 nucleotides. RefSeq lists it as uncharacterized. The transcript is spliced from 2 exons. Lineage: Eukaryota; Metazoa; Porifera; Demospongiae; Haplosclerida; Niphatidae. The record is from RefSeq and is a predicted model, not a curated record.
AUCCGGAUUAAUGGCAGGCUUAAUAGCAUUACCAAUUAGUGUUCUAUCAUUAAGAAUAAAGCGUAAUGUAGAUGAUGUUGAAGGAACCGACUGGCCAGUUCCAGCUGAAAUUGAUUUCAGGACUGUAUUGGUUCUUCAAGAAGAUUUUCUACUGAAGGAGAUGAAGAAAAAGGUAGAGAAUAAACAUCCUGAGGCACAGGAGAACUAUGCAUGGCAUGGUCUCUCAGAAUAUAAAGUGGACUAUAGAAACCAUGCAGUAAACUCCUCUGUCGGUCUGGUAUGCAUAAUUGGAAGACCAAUUGCUUUUCUAUUAAAUGGAUGAACUCCCACAGUUUUAAAUGCAUGGACUAUAUUUAAAGUUGUGAUGGACUUCAUCCAAGCUUUUGAAAAGAUACCACCCAAUAUAUUUAUGAUCUUGUAUGGCUUUUCCUGUUGAAAUUUAAGAUAUUCUUUGUGCCACUGGAUUAUGAGAGGGCCAAAUAUUCCUUUAUCAAGUGGUUGCGUCAAAUGUGUGGUAUUUGGAGGGAAAGUAAACAGUAUCACAUCAUGCUUUCUUGCUAAACGAAUGGUUUUUUGAGAAUAAUGAGAAGAGUGAUCAUCUAACUACAAACUAAGUGAUCUUGCUGGAACUGCAUAUCGCAGAAAGUGUUUCAUAAAUCAGUGAAAAAAGAGUGUGUGAUCCAUCAACCCUUUCUGAGAAAGUCCAUGGAAUGAUCCAGGAACUUCAUUAUUUGUCUGCUCAGUCCUCAAACUUUCAGUAUUCCAAAUGAUCAUUGGUGGGAUCAUAACUCCUCCAGCAUUAAAACAUCCUACUACAGUCACUUGCUCUUUUUUCCGCAUGUAACAACACUUGGACUUUUUUCACCCCUUUUUGAAGCUAUUUUCUCUUGGACAUCUCUUGUAGAUUUGAGAGCAGCAACUCUUCACAGAGUGCCACAAUAUUUACUUAUUAUUAAAUGUCACAGCUCGCAAGAAUUUUUCAAAAUAUUUUACUUAGAGACUAGCUGAAUAACAAAGAACUCUCUUUCAAAUAAGGCCAACUGGCUUUAUAUAUGCACAAAUUAUUAAUAAUUAGUUAAUUAAUUAAUAUACAUUAAUGGUAAUAAUCCAGUUUCUAUACAGUUCCAUGACAUUAAUGACAUUUAUUUAUAAACACGUGACUAUAUUAUGACGUCAUUAGUGCAGUGGUGUUGUUGUAGUAAGCAGCACAGUAAUGCUGCUCUUAAACUUUGAGAAAGAAGUCCAGAAGGCAUUUCAGGCUACUUGCUGCUUUUAUUUGGUCCUCUUUCUUCCUCUUUUGUUUUUGUCUUAAACAGAGCUCUUUGGUCAUAUGACUGCUUGUCCUACACUUGGUUCGAGCAAUCUGAUUGGGACACCAAAAUCUCUGGCAUGAAGCACACAUUUUAGAUAGCAGUGUCUCCAGACCCUUCCUCCACUGGUAGCGAAGGGGCGGGGCGAGACCAAUUUGCAGCAAACAAUCAGCAAGAUAAGACUAAAAUGCUGUCCAAAGACUUCUCUAGCAAGAAGAAAGGUUAGGAAAGCAGAUAUAGAAUCUUUUUUCUUCAUAUAAAGGACACUGAUAAAGUUGAAUGCAAGUCAGAAAGCUGCGUGCAUGCACUGUAGCUACCUGCAUGUAUCAUGAGAUCUAUUCUAGGUGUUGCUUCUUCUCUACUACAUGUAGGUUAACAAAGCAGAUGUAAAAUUUUUUUCAAAUAUGAUUUGUUCAGUGACUGCUUUUAACUAUAAGCAAGAUAACUUUAAUUUCAUGUUGCAGAGAUUCUUAAGUGAUGAAGAAAAUUUAAGGCAACAAGAUCUACAUGUUGCUUUGCUGGCUCAUACAUGUAAAUCAUACUGCACAUAAUCUAUAGCUUGCUUAGGCCUGCCCCUUUAAUGUUUUACAUUCUUCUAGUUAUGUGUAAGUUUGAUUGUAGAUGCACCUUUCACUGUGAGAGGUGAGCCAUUGGCAAUAGCUAAAUGGGAUAGCAUAGCCUUUAGUGAUGGAGCAUCCUGGGGCUUGCAUAAUUGUAGGAUUUUAUACCAAGUGGAUGAAUUCAGCAAAGUAACUGCUGUCCCAGUAUCAACAAGGAAACAAUAUAGUUGAUCAAAAGUUUUGAAUGAAACAUAAAAAGUUAGUCUUUUCCCCCACCCCUUCACUGGAGGAGGAAGGGUCUGGACUCUGGAGACACUCGAAGCUUUUCUUGCACACAAUGGAAUGUACAUGUAAUUAGUGUAGCUUGAUCAUUUGACCGGAUACACUCAUGUGUUAAUUUCACAUGGUAGACACACCAUCAAAACAUGGCUACCAGAAUUAUUAAGAAGGAAUCAUAGCUAAAAACUCAUUUUGUAUCAUUAAUAUGUUUUGUUUUUCUUCAUUCUUUUCUACUUAUUAAAUUCAUUUUGUUAUUAAUCUAAAACAACAUGUUUAACAAUGCAAAAUAUUUUAAAAUUGUAUAAUGCAAAAAAGCCAUGGCUAUUAGAAGCAUCAUUUGCAGAUGAGGUAGAAGUAGUUCCCCAACUUCCAUAAAAGUGUGUACCCCUAUAGCACUGCACAUAAUUAUUAGACAACAAUCAUAAGUUAAGUGAACUGACCAUUUCUUAACUUGUUGCUUAUCAAAAGGCAAACUCAGUAGCUUUAAUCAGUGAUCAGGGGACUAAGGAAGAGUUUUUCUGUUCCAGAACUGAUUCUGCAGAGGAUAUAUGGCAGUACUGAGUCUUGGUAGUGAUUGACAUUAAUUUACCAUGUUGCUGUGACACCCUCAGCCAAUGAGUUCGGAUUCUUCUGUUUAACUGUGAGGACCACUUGUUGGUCUGUAAUAGAAUUGAAUAACUGAGUAAGGGAAAGCUGUUUGUGUGCUGCAGUACUGAGAUGUGGGUAAACCUUCUUAAACCAACCCCCCAUAGCAUACUUUUUCGCAACUUUCUGUUAGCCUCGUAGUGCGAGUGGAGAAGUCGGCAAAGUAUAAUUCUCUUUUGCCCUUUGGCUCGAAAUGUACCUUUAGUGCUAAGACUGCAGCACCAAGUGAUGCUUUAUCGGUGUCAGAGAGUUAGUGAAAGAUGGUUUGAGCUCUGUUAGUGAACCAUGCCCUGAGAAAUUUUAAUUUAUUGCUGACGAAUUUGUGUUCGUGCAGUUGUUGAAAUGUAACAACCACUGUUCUCAGUUGGCCUCUCCCGAAUAUGCAUCUGGCACUAUGAUGGGCUUAGAAGCCAUGGUGAUCAGAGAUGGUUGCCUGAGAGUUAGAGUAAAAAAA